CACUGGCAUUAUACAUUGUCCUCUUUCUAUGAUCUGAUAACAUUGUUUUUCGCCAAUCAACAUCUAAUCAACAAAGAAGUUAAACAUAUCUUUCUUAACCAACAAUAAUCAACAAACAGAAGAAUAAUUAUUUCAACAAAAUAGAAAAAUGUUUGAAAAGAAAAUAUCACCUGAAUAGGCUUCUUGAAUUUGUUAAAAUUUCUGCUUAGCCUCACCAAUCUGUGUAGGGUCGUUAGUCCAUUCAUCCAGUUGCCAUUGCUGCAGCAAAUAUAACACACAAGUUAUAACUAAAACACAGUCUCUGAACAAAUAUAUUGCCAUUUAACCAAGAUUUAAGAAUUAUGGACCAUCAUCCUGCACGGCAAAAAUUAAAACUAAAGAAGAAUCAAGAUUGUAAAGUUUGAAUUUUUGAGAGAGAUUUCUAAUGGAAAAUUAGGGGUCGGUUAAUUUUGGGUAUGCAAUCUUUGAAGGAAAAAUUCUGGUUGUGAAGUGGAUUUAAAUAAGUUGAGGAUGCAAACCCAAAAUUUGAAGGAGGACUCAAAACAUCAAUAAUUGAAAGGUUCAAACUAAUCAAGAACCCUAAUCGAUCAUUCAAACUUUUCAAUAACAUUAGAAAAGACCUUCUUCAUGUCCAAUGACUUCAUGGAUGUGAAGGGCCUCUUCAUAUUCAGCAAACAGAAAAAUGUCCCCCACCUUCCUCGUGAAUUCCAAAGCAUCCUUCCCUCGGUUUCUAGGAGUUGACCACUGCAUUGA
This 753-nucleotide long non-coding RNA is filed under the name Olea europaea (common olive). RNAcentral describes it as "long non-coding RNA (OEUR_LNC014071)". The record is from RNAcentral. Lineage: Eukaryota; Viridiplantae; Streptophyta; Magnoliopsida; Lamiales; Oleaceae.